This 492-nucleotide ribosomal RNA is filed under the name uncultured bacterium. RNAcentral describes it as "partial 16S ribosomal RNA". It matches the Rfam family "Bacterial small subunit ribosomal RNA", at positions 29 to 507 of the family's 1533-position model. The record is from RNAcentral.
AGUGAACGCUGGCGGUAGGCCUAGCACAUGCAAGUCGAACGGCAGCACAGUAAGAGCUUGCUCUUACGGGUGGCGAGUGGCGGACGGGUGAGGAAUACAUCAGAAUCUACUUUUUCGUGGGGGAUAACGUAGGGAAACUUACUCUAAUACCGCAUACGACCUACGGGUGAAAGCAGGGGAUCUUCGGACCUUGCGCGAUUGAAUGAGCCGAUGUCGGAUUAGCUAGUUGGCGGGGUAAAGGCCCACCAAGGCGACGAUCCGUAGCUGGUCUGAGAGGACGAUCAGCCACACUGGAACUGAGACACGGUCCAGACUCCUACGGGAGGCAGCAGUGGGGAAUAUUGGACAAUGGGCGCAAGCCUGAUCCAGCCAUACCGCGUGGGUGAAGAAGGCCUUCGGGUUGUAAAGCCCUUUUGUUGGGAAAGAAAAGCAGCAGGUUAAUACCCCGCUGUUCUGACGGUACCCAAAGAAUAAGCACCGGCUAACUUCGUG